Non-coding RNA from Thamnophis sirtalis, 1470 nucleotides. NCBI's taxonomy places the organism in Eukaryota, Metazoa, Chordata, Lepidosauria, Squamata, Natricidae. The record is from RefSeq and is a predicted model, not a curated record.
CAGCAAAGGGGAGAUGCUGGACCUGGUGGUGUUGGAGCAGCUGCUGGCCGUGCUGCCCGCGGAGAUGGCCAGCUGGGUGAGGGAGUGCGGAGCCGAGAGCUGUUCCCAGGCGGUGGCCCUGGCCGAAGGCUUCCUGCUCAGCCAAGCCCAGAGGGAAGAGCCGGGAAAGGGGCAGCAGGUGCAGUAGCCAUUCAUGGGGGUGAUCUCCACAGAACUUCACGAAAGAGGAGAUCCAUCCAGCCCUUCUCAGGAACUGCAUUUCAGGAGGAUCCAACCAGAGAGAGUGAGAAUAUAAAUGCCUAGAAUGUGGAAAGACCUAUACACGAAAAGGACAUCUUAAUCGUCAUGAAAGGAUUCACACUGGAGAGAGACCAUGUAAAUACAAGCACUAUGGAAAAACCUUUACUGAGAAAGAAAAACAUAAUUGUCCUGAAAGAAUACACACUGAGGAGCCACUGGUCUCUGCCAGUUUUUUCUUCUAAAGUGCUGAGUGCCAAGUGUUAAAAGUGCUUUAAUGUCUUCAGCACCUUUGAUUAUCACAAUGGCAUACACAGAAGAGAAAAUUUGAAGUACAUGAGGAGUGGAGCCACCAUCACUGAGUGUGCUUUCUUCUCAUAAAAGGAUUCACACAGGAAAAAUAAAUAAAAUCCCUGGAUUGAGGUUUAUUCUCAAUAGCCAAUCAUCAACCAAGGAUCCAGAUGUGGCCAGAAGCUUAUUAAUUCAUGGAAUGUGCAAAGAUCUUUGGUUUGUAUUGGAAUCUUAUUUACCUUCCAUUUAGCUACACAGUAGAAAAAGUAUAAGCACUGGAAUUUGAAAAUUGCUGAUGGUGGAUCAGUGACCUCACUUAUCAUAGGAUGAUGCCUUUCUUCUUGAGGAAAAUGCUUCUGUUUCCUCUCUGAAAUAAUUCAUGAAAUUCAAACCUAUGUUCAUCUCCCUGCGGGAUGUAAGAAGCUCCAGAGAUUGAGGGAGUGGUCACAAUUCUUUCUCUACCAGCCCAUUUUUUUCUCUAGUGCAGAAAUUUGAGGCUCCUUUGCCAUUUUAGCUAAUAUUCUUCAACGUAUUUAUGCUCAUUGACAAUACCACAUAUCAUAUAACUUUAUAUUGUUGCUGCUCCCUAUCCCCACCUAGUGGCCAGAGAGACCGUUAUUCCCCAACUAUGUUGUCUGAAGCUCACUUUGCCCAUUUACAUCCUGCUCUCAAACCAAGUGUAUGCUGGGAAGCCAGACUCCAUUUCCUUUGGCAUUUAGAGAAGGCAGAAGCAGCCAAUUUAAUCUGUGGCACAUGGUCAUUCAAAACGAACUAACAUUCCCCGCCCCCUACACCAUGGCUCUUGAGAUUCAAACUGCAUAUAUUUAUUAAUUGUUACGUUCAGCAGACAGCAGUCUAUCUUAUAUUUGAUUUUCACCACAUGUAUUCAUAUUUCCUUCAGUUUCACCAUAUCCUGUUCUACAAAUAAAGCCUUCAAAUCUA